Molecule: ribosomal RNA, 346 nt
Filed under: uncultured bacterium
Lineage: Bacteria
Description: bacterial SSU rRNA
Rfam family: Bacterial small subunit ribosomal RNA
Source: RNAcentral
GAUGAACGCUAGCGGCAGGCCUAAUACAUGCAAGUCGAGGGGCAGCGCGGUAGCAAUACUGGCGGCGACCGGCGCACGGGUGCGUAACACGUAUGCAACCUACCUUCAACUGGAGGAUAGCCCGGGGAAACUCGGAUUAAUACUCCAUAACACAGGGAUCCCGCAUGGGAAUAUUGUUAAAGCUACGGCGGUUGAAGAUGGGCAUGCGUUCGAUUAGCUAGUUGGUGUAGGUAACGGCUCACCAAGGCUACGAUCGAUAGGGGUCUGAGAGGAUGAUCCCCCACACUGGUACUGAGAUACGGACCAGACUCCUACGGGAGCAGCAGGUAGGGAAUAUUGGGUACAA